GAGUGACGCAUAAUAUGUGGGCCGCUCCGGAGUCGCGGUCGCGUUGUGUGUGAGUGAGGGGGAGAGAGUGCGGGACCUGAGGCGGCGUGUGUGAGCUGUGGCCGCUGGCGGGGUCAGGGGGGAGCGGCGGAGCCGCCCAGGAAGAUAAGGAAAUUGAGAUUUGGAGAAGUUAAAUAACUUGACCAAGAUCUCACAGGCCAAGUCAUGACUACAGUAGCGGUACAUGUGGACUCCAAAGCUGAGCUCACUACCCUGCUGGAGCAGUGGGAAAAGGAACAUGGCAGUGGGCAGGACAUGGUACCUAUCCUUACCAGGAUGUCUGAAUUGAUUGAAAAAGAAACUGAAGAAUAUCGUAAGGGGGAUCCAGACCCAUUUGAUGAUCGACAUCCUGGUCGAGCUGAUCCAGAGUGUAUGCUGGGCCACUUGCUGAGAAUACUCUUCAAGAAUGAUGAUUUCAUGAAUGCACUGGUGAAUGCAUAUGUGAUGACAAGCCGAGAGCCCCCUUUAAACACUGCCGCUUGCAGACUCCUACUGGACAUCAUGCCAGGGCUAGAAACUGCUGUCGUCUUUCAAGAAAAGGAAGGAAUUGUUGAGAAUCUUUUCAAAUGGGCCCAAGGGGCUGAUCAGCCACUGAGGACAUAUUCUACUGGUCUGUUAGGAGGUGCUAUGGAAAAUCAAGACAUUGCUGCCAACUACAGGGAUGAAAAUUCACAGCUGGUGGCAAUAGUACUUCGAAGACUGAGGGAGCUACAGCUUCAGGAAGUAGCUUUGAGGCAAGAAAGCAAGCGUCCUAGCCCACGAAAGCUCUCCUCUGAACCCCUUUUGCCUCUGGAUGAAGAAGCUGUGGAUAUGGACUAUGGCGACAUGGCUGUAGAUGUAGUGGAUGGCGAACAAGAGGAAGCUUCUGGAGACAUGGAGAUCUCCUUUCAUCUUGAUUCAGGCCACAAGACCAGUAGCAGAGUGAACUCAGCAACUAAACCUGAGGAAGGAGGAUUGAGGAAAAACAAGUCAGCAAAACAGGGUGACAGAGAGAGCUUUAGGAAAGCCAAGCAAAAGUUGGGUUUCUCAUCAUCUGAUCCAGAUCGCAUGUUUGUUGAGCUGUCUAACAGCAGCUGGUCAGAAAUGUCCCCCUGGGUGAUUGGCACCAAUUAUACCCUUUAUCCUAUGACUCCUGCUAUCGAGCAGCGACUUAUUCUCCAGUAUCUGACCCCUUUAGGAGAAUAUCAGGAGUUACUUCCCAUAUUCAUGCAACUUGGAUCACGGGAUUUGAUGAUGUUCUAUAUUGACUUGAAACAGACUAAUGAUGUCCUACUUACAUUUGAGGCACUCAAGCACCUAGCAUCUCUCCUGCUCCAUAACAAGUUUGCCACAGAAUUUGUUGCGCAUGGUGGAGUACAGAAAUUACUGGAAAUUCCUCGUCCUUCUAUGGCUGCAACUGGUGUAUCCAUGUGCUUGUAUUACCUGUCCUACAACCAGGAUGCCAUGGAAAGAGUUUGCAUGCAUCCCCACAACGUUCUCUCUGAUGUGGUGAACUACACACUGUGGUUAAUGGAAUGUUCUCAUGCUUCAGGAUGCUGCCAUGCUACCAUGUUUUUCUCAAUCUGCUUCUCCUUCCGGGCUGUAUUGGAACUCUUUGACCGCUAUGAUGGUCUUCGUCGUCUGGUGAACUUGAUCAGUACUUUGGAGAUUCUAAAUUUGGAAGAUCAGGGUGCUCUUCUGAGUGAUGAUGAAAUAUUUGCUAGCCGCCAAACUGGGAAACAUACCUGCAUGGCCUUGCGCAAGUACUUUGAGGCUCACCUGGCCAUUAAAUUGGAACAAGUGAAGCAGUCACUUCAGAGGACUGAGGGUGGCAUUCUUGUUCAUCCUCAACCCCCGUACAAGGCAUGUUCAUAUACUCAUGAACAGAUUGUGGAAAUGAUGGAGUUUUUGAUAGAAUAUGGCCCAGCGCAGCUAUAUUGGGAGCCAGCUGAAGUCUUCCUCAAACUUUCUUGUGUCCAACUCUUGUUGCAGCUUAUUUCUAUUGCUUGUAAUUGGAAGACCUAUUAUGCAAGGAAUGACACCGUGCGCUUUGCUUUGGAUGUCUUGGCUAUUCUCACUGUUGUGCCAAAAAUUCAGCUCCAGUUGGCAGAAUCAGUGGAUGUGCUGGAUGAGGCUGGCUCCACCGUCUCCACUGUAGGUAUCAGCAUUAUUUUGGGAGUGGCUGAGGGUGAGUUCUUUAUUCAUGAAGCUGAAAUUCAGAAGUCAGCACUUCAGAUUAUCAUCAAUUGUGUGUGUGGCCCGGAUAACAGAAUUUCUAGUAUUGGCAAAUUUAUCUCUGGAACUCCUCGGAGAAAGCUGCCUCAGACUCCCAAAAGCAGUGAGCACACUCUGGCCAAGAUGUGGAAUGUGGUCCAGUCCAACAAUGGCAUCAAGGUGCUUCUGUCCUUACUUUCCAUCAAGAUGCCCAUCAUAGAUGCAGACCAGAUCCGGGCCCUGGCCUGCAAGGCCCUGGUGGGCCUGUCUCGCAGUAGCACUGUCCGGCAGAUCAUCAGCAAACUGCCCCUUUUCAGCAGCUGUCAAAUCCAGCAACUGAUGAAAGAGCCUGUGCUGCAGGACAAGCGCAGUGACCAUGUCAAGUUCUGCAAGUAUGCUGCUGAGCUCAUUGAACGGGUGUCAGGAAAGCCACUUCUCAUUGGCACUGAUGUGUCCCUGGCACGACUGCAGAAAGCAGAUGUUGUUGCCCAGUCAAGGAUCUCCUUUCCUGAGAAAGAGCUGCUUCUGCUGAUACGAAACCAUCUCAUUUCUAAAGGGCUUGGGGAGACAGCAACUGUGCUGACGAAAGAGGCUGACCUGCCCAUGACUGCUGCCUCCCAUUCUUCUGCCUUCACCCCAGUCACUGCUGCUGCUUCUCCUGUUUCUCUUCCCCGUACCCCUCGCAUCGCCAAUGGCAUUGCAACUCGACUGGGCAGCCAUGCUGCUGUGGGUGCCUCUGCCCCUUCUGCCCCCACUGCUCAUCCUCAGCCACGGGCCUCCCAGGGUUCACUAGCUCUGCCUGGCCCGUCUUAUGCAGGCAACUCCCCUUUGAUUGGUAGGAUCAGUUUUAUCAGAGAGAGGCCAUCACCCUGCAAUGGCAGGAAAAUCAGAGUGUUGCGGCAGAAGUCGGACCAUGGCGCCUACAGCCAAAGCCCAGCCAUAAAGAAGCAGUUGGACAGACAUCUUCCUUCCCCACCUACGCUGGACAGUAUCAUCACAGAAUAUCUUAGAGAGCAACAUGCUCGCUGCAAGAACCCAGUUGCCACCUGCCCACCUUUCUCUCUCUUUACUCCUCACCAAUGUCCUGAGCCAAAACAGAGGCGGCAAGCGCCAAUAAAUUUUACCUCAAGGCUAAACCGCAGGGCAUCAUUUCCAAAGUAUGGAGGGGUGGAUGGCGGAUGCUUUGAUAGGCACCUUAUCUUUAGCAGGUUCCGUCCUAUUUCAGUGUUCCGGGAAGCCAAUGAGGAUGAGAGUGGCUUCACCUGUUGUGCAUUCUCAGCACGAGAGCGGUUCUUGAUGCUUGGCACCUGCACUGGGCAAUUGAAGCUCUAUAAUGUGUUUAGUGGACAGGAGGAGGCCAGCUAUAACUGUCACAACUCAGCUAUCACACACCUUGAACCUUCCAGGGACGGGUCCUUGCUGCUGACAUCUGCUACUUGGAGCCAGCCUCUGUCUGCACUUUGGGGAAUGAAAUCAGUAUUUGAUAUGAAGCAUUCCUUCACAGAAGAUCACUAUGUUGAGUUCAGUAAGCACUCUCAGGAUCGGGUCAUAGGCACAAAAGGAGACAUUGCCCAUAUUUAUGAUAUUCAGACUGGCAACAAGCUGUUGACUCUGUUUAACCCAGAUCUUGCCAACAACUACAAGAGGAACUGUGCCACCUUUAAUCCUACAGAUGAUCUUGUCUUAAAUGAUGGCGUCCUCUGGGAUGUCCGCUCUGCACAGGCCAUCCACAAGUUUGACAAGUUCAACAUGAACAUCAGUGGCGUUUUCCAUCCGAAUGGGCUGGAGGUCAUCAUUAAUACUGAGAUUUGGGACCUUCGUACUUUCCAUCUUUUACACACAGUUCCUGCUCUAGAUCAGUGUCGCGUGGUGUUCAACCACACGGGGACAGUGAUGUAUGGAGCUAUGUUGCAGGCAGAUGAUGAAGAUGACUUAAUGGAAGAGAGGAUGAAAAGCCCUUUUGGAUCAUCCUUCCGAACAUUUAAUGCAACUGAUUACAAACCUAUCGCGACCAUUGAUGUGAAACGGAACAUUUUUGACCUAUGUACAGACACCAAAGACUGCUAUCUUGCUGUCAUCGAGAACCAAGGCAGCAUAGAGUCUCUGAACAUGGACACGGUGUGCAGGCUGUAUGAAGUAGGCAGGCAGCGUCUGGCAGAGGAUGAGGAUGAAGAGGAGGACCAGGAAGAGGAAGAACAGGAGGAAGAAGAUGAUGAUGAAGAUGAUGACGACACCGAUGAUUUAGAUGAGCUUGACACUGACCAGUUGCUGGAGGCGGAGUUGGAGGAGGAUGACAACAAUGAGAACGCAGGGGAGGAUGGGGACAAUGACUUUUCUCCCUCUGAUGAGGAGCUAGCAAACCUGCUAGAGGAGGGAGAGGACGGAGAAGAUGAAGACUCUGAUGCAGAUGAGGAAGUGGAACUGAUCCUGGGGGACAACUCAUGCUUGCUGUGGUCCUGGUUCUUCCUAGUGCUGCUCUGCCUGACUGGGGAGUAAUCACUGUGAUAUCCAGUCAUUUUUCAUGUAGCUAACCUGGCCAGCAUUCUCACAGCCAAGGUUGAGAUGAUUCAUUGAAGGAGGACUUCCUUUGUCCCUAGCGAUGGUCAGAGAGCCAGCCGACAGCUCUGACAACUCUGAUUUGGAAGAUGACAUCAUCUUAUCUCUAAAUGAGUGAGGAGCCAUCACCACGUGGAAGAGAUUCUUGGCAGGCGAGAAACUGAGUCAAAUGAAUUCAGAACAUCUUCCCUUCCCUUUCUCCCAGGGCUCUUUUAAGGAACUGCAUGCCCUGCAUUCAGAGGAUUAUGAUUUAGAGUCUCACUGGAAUCUGAGUCCUUCUAAAAACAAUAACCACACAAAAAAAAGACAACAGGGGUUAGGGCCUAUUCUGCUUCCACCUUCUCCUAGGAUGGACAUUAUCUUUCCUCAAGGGAAAAAAAAACCAACACGUCUCUGGGGUUAUUUCACAAUAUAUUUUCUUUGUAUAAUGUUCUUUACUUAAAGAACAAGAAAUAGUUUUUUAUAAAACUUAAAAAGAAAAAAAAAGGCAUUUAUAACUGAGGGUAUGAACUUAUAUCCACCAGGUCUCUUGUCCCUGCAGUUCAUUUUCUAUGGAAGAAAAUGAUGUCUAAAUAACAAUAGAGGCAUUUUUACAUACGUAUUUAAAUGAAAAGGAAAAUCGUGGUUUCUUAAAUUGAUAAGGAUUAAGAAUAUUUUAUUAUAAAUAUAAUAUAUGAUUUUUUAACCUGUUUUGUUGCCUCAUAUGCUGUCAGGUUAAUUUGUUUUCCUUUGUGCCAGAGGUGGGGAGGAGGUGCUGCUUGUUUGCUGAAUAAAUGCCUAAGUUCACCCACCUUCAUGGUUUGGGGGGUGGCAGCAAGGUCAUUGUGGAUAUUGGUUUUGUGGAGUUGAGGGAACUUAGGAUAUAAGUUCACUCCCUCUAUUUUUCUUUGUGAUUCAGUUUUUCAGAAAUCUUUUUUUCUUCCCUUUCUCCCCAAUGUGGAAAGUACAAAUCAAAGGCCUUUUUCUUUAAUGUAAAGUGUAUUUAUUUAAAAAAAAUACAAAAUAAACUACAAGUCUGUCUUUCUUUGUU
Balaenoptera acutorostrata (minke whale) is the source of this 5818-nucleotide RNA transcript. It is a transcript of the gene named DDB1 and CUL4 associated factor 1, with no coding region annotated. The transcript is spliced from 27 exons. The record is from RefSeq and is a predicted model, not a curated record. NCBI's taxonomy places the organism in Eukaryota, Metazoa, Chordata, Mammalia, Artiodactyla, Balaenopteridae.